Molecule: long non-coding RNA, 528 nt
Organism: Leopardus geoffroyi (Geoffroy's cat)
Lineage: Eukaryota; Metazoa; Chordata; Mammalia; Carnivora; Felidae
Exons: 2
Source: RefSeq, a predicted model, not a curated record
CCUUGUGAAAUUCUCGGUGUGCACGUUCAAUUUCCUCUUCUACAACAUUUGGCAUUCUUUCUGGAAGAGUUGAGGCAUCAUGAGCUCUCCCAUGUUACCGUUGAAAAUCAGGAUAAGAGUGUUUGUUCUUAGUGUAGGAUUUGAGCUUAGGUCUUACUGAUUCUAAGAGGUGCUUUAUUCUUCAAAAUUCUGUGUCUUUCAGGACAUUGGAGCAGGAAAACCUUAGCUGCUGCUGCUGUGGAGUCGUGAUUAUCCAGGCCCAACGGCUAGAAGUCAAAGUUUCCUAGAUGUGAGUUCACUAACUUGUGCGGGAGCGCCUACAUUACAAUCAUCUGAGAACUUGUUAUAAAUAUAGAUCCCUUGGUCCCAGCUCAAGAUUCUUCCCCCCAGCUCUAGACAUUUUGAUUCGGCCAUUCAGGAGUGGGGACUGAGUGAUACUGAGUGAUAUUUGAUACUGAGACAGAAUUGUAUCAAAUUCCAUUUUAGGUUGUUCAUUUACUUAUACUAAAAAUGGCUCUUUUCCUUUGA